RNAcentral lists this ribosomal RNA (274 nucleotides) under uncultured bacterium. RNAcentral describes it as "partial 16S ribosomal RNA". It matches the Rfam family "Archaeal small subunit ribosomal RNA", at positions 473 to 747 of the family's 1478-position model. The record is from RNAcentral.
AAACCAGCACCUCAAGUGGUCAGGAUGAUUAUUGGGCCUAAAGCAUCCGUAGCCGGCUCUGUAAGUUUUCGGUUAAAUCCGUACGCUCAACGUACAGGCUGCCGGGAAUACUGCAGAGCUAGGGAGUGGGAGAGGUAGACGGUACUCGGGAGGAAGUGGUAAAAUGCUUUGAUCUCUCGAUGACCACCUGUGGCGAAGGCGGUCUACCAGAACACGUCCGACGGUGAGGGAUGAAAGCUGGGGGAGCAAACCGGAUUAGAUACCCUAGUAGUCC